This 723-nucleotide long non-coding RNA is filed under the name Homo sapiens (human). RNAcentral describes it as "non-protein coding lnc-NUP62-1:16". The record is from RNAcentral. Lineage: Eukaryota; Metazoa; Chordata; Mammalia; Primates; Hominidae.
ACUACUUCUGCGCCUGCGCGACCGUGAUUCCCCGCUCGCGACUCCCCACCCCCCAGGGCUCCCUAAAGAGGGCCACGAGCUGCGAAAGGGCGGGAAAGGCAGUUGGAGAAGAGGUAAGCGGUUACUCACUCCAUGGCUGCAGCAAGGAGAGGCGGCGGCGGCCUCGGCUGAAGAAAGAAGGUGGGAGCGGAGAGCGCAGGCGUGGUGAGCGCGGAGACGGGCCGGGGGCACAAAGGGGUCGAGGCUACAGAGCCAUGGCCGGGGCUACGCAGGCAGAGGCGGCGACACUGUAGUGAGAAGAGACUGUGAUCCGAGGACAGGGAAUGAGGGGCAGGCGGUUAGCUGGCGGUGCAGGGCCUCGGCGCGGGUCAGCACGUCCUCCACGCUCAGCUUCAUAGUCAGCUCGUUGAUGUGCUUGAGGAUCUCAUUGGAGCCGAAGCCGGACAGCAUGAGGGUGUCCCUCUCCAUGUCCAGGAUGGCGCAGGCCACCAGCAGGUGCAGAUUGGGGCCAGGGAGCCCUGUCCACAGCACCUCCCACAGCCGAAGGACAUCCGGGAAGGGGAAUUCCCUCUUGAACCAGAUGAGCAGCCACCGGAAACAGAAGCAGAGAGAGCCGGAGUCCUGGGAAUCUGGGGGAUGACAUGGAGCCCACUCAGCCUUGCCCAGCGCUGGGACUGAGAGUUUGAGAAGUCAUCCUGACUGGAAGACCUUCCCCAAGUCUAG